GAUGAACGCUGGCGGCGUGCUUAACACAUGCAAGUCGAACGGAAAGGCCCAAGCUUGCUUGGGUACUCGAGUGGCGAACGGGUGAGUAACACGUGGGUGAUCUGCCCUGCACUUCGGGAUAAGCCUGGGAAACUGGGUCUAAUACCGGAUAGGACGAUGGUUUGGAUGCCAUUGUGGAAAGUUUUUUCGGUGUGGGAUGAGCUCGCGGCCUAUCAGCUUGUUGGUGGGGUAAUGGCCUACCAAGGCGUCGACGGGUAGCCGGCCUGAGAGGGUGUACGGCCACAUUGGGACUGAGAUACGGCCCAGCCUCCUACGGGGGGCGGCAGUGGGGAAUAUUGCACAAUGGGCGCAAGCCUGAUGCAGCGACGCCGCGUGGGGGAUGACGGCCUUCGGGUUGUAAACUCCUUUCGCUAGGGACGAAGCGUUUUUGUGACGGUACCUGGAGAAGAAGCACCGGCUAACUACGUGC
Molecule: ribosomal RNA, 469 nt
Filed under: uncultured bacterium
Lineage: Bacteria
Description: partial 16S ribosomal RNA
Rfam family: Bacterial small subunit ribosomal RNA
Source: RNAcentral